GAUGAACGCUGGCGGCGUGCCUAAUACAUGCAAGUCGAGCGAACGGACGAGAAGCUUGCUUCUCUGAUGUUAGCGGCGGACGGGUGAGUAACACGUGGAUAACCUACCUAUAAGACUGGGAUAACUUCGGGAAACCGGAGCUAAUACCGGAUAAUAUUUUGAACCGCAUGGUUCAAAAGUGAAAGACGGUCUUGCUGUCACUUAUAGAUGGAUCCGCGCUGCAUUAGCUAGUUGGUAAGGUAACGGCUUACCAAGGCAACGAUGCAUAGCCGACCUGAGAGGGUGAUCGGCCACACUGGAACUGAGACACGGUCCAGACUCCUACGGGAGGCAGCAGUAGGGAAUCUUCCGCAAUGGGCGAAAGCCUGACGGAGCAACGCCGCGUGAGUGAUGAAGGUCUUCGGAUCGUAAAACUCUGUUAUUAGGGAAGAACAUAUGUGUAAGUAACUGUGCACAUCUUGACGGUACCUAAUCAGAAAGCCACGGCUAACUACGUGCCAGCAGCUGCGGUAAUACGUAGGUGGCGAGCGUUAUCCGGAAUUAUUGGGCGUAAAGCGCGCGUAGGCGGUUUUUUAAGUCUGAUGUGAAAGCCCACGGCUCAACCGUGGAGGGUCAUUGGAAACUGGAAAACUUGAGUGCAGAAGAGGAAAGUGGAAUUCCAUGUGUAGCGGUGAAAUGCGCAGAGAUAUGGAGGAACACCAGUGGCGAAGGCGACUUUCUGGUCUGUAACUGACGCUGGUGUGCGAAAGCGUGGGGAUCAAACAGGAUUAGAUACCCUGGUAGUCCACGCCGUAAACGAUGAGUGCUAAGUGUUAGGGGGUUUCCGCCCCUUAGUGCUGCAGCUAACGCAUUAAGCACUCCGCCUGGGGAGUACGACCGCAAGGUUGAAACUCAAAGGAAUUGACGGGGACCCGCACAAGCGGUGGAGCAUGUGGUUUAAUUCGAAGCAACGCGAAGAACCUUACCAAAUCUUGACAUCCUUUGACAACUCUAGAGAUAGAGCUUUCCCCUUCGGGGGACAAAGUGACAGGUGGUGCAUGGUUGUCGUCAGCUCGUGUCGUGAGAUGUUGGGUUAAGUCCCGCAACGAGCGCAACCCUUAAGCUUAGUUGCCAUCAUUAAGUUGGGCACUCUAAGUUGACUGCCGGUGACAAACCGGAGGAAGGUGGGGAUGACGUCAAAUCAUCAUGCCCCUUAUGAUUUGGGCUACACACGUGCUACAAUGGACAACACAAAGGGCAGCGAAACCGCGAGGUCAAGCAAAUCCCAUAAAGUUGUUCUCAGUUCGGAUUGUAGUCUGCAACUCGACUACAUGAAGCUGGAAUCGCUAGUAAUCGUAGAUCAGCAUGCUACGGUGAAUACGUUCCCGGGUCU
RNAcentral lists this ribosomal RNA (1372 nucleotides) under uncultured bacterium. RNAcentral describes it as "bacterial SSU rRNA". It matches the Rfam family "Bacterial small subunit ribosomal RNA", at positions 28 to 1381 of the family's 1533-position model. The record is from RNAcentral.